CUCCGUGAUAUGUGUUGGGUCCCCGCUAUAAUAACAGCAACAUUCACAAAUGCCGAUGUAACAGGGUUAAAAAGAGUACUUAAUUUAAGAGUUUUGAUGUGUGAAUUUCAUAAAAUAAGCAUUUGGUUAAAUUCAUUGGUGUUCAAAGGCUCCCCUCCUGUGGCUAUUAAUGGUACUGCAGACAGUGUAUUUUGUCGCUCUUCUCUUGCCGUACUCCAGCAGAUUUGAGUGUCGCUGCUGUGGUCUUGAAUGUCUGCAGUAGUUUAUCUUCAGCCAAAGUGAUUUGUGCCAUUUUAUUUCCAAAAGAUAAAGGCAAGCACAAGGAAACCCACGUGUGAGUGUGUUUGUUCACGUCUGUUACACUGGUGCCGUGACUCCUUGGAUCCUUUGAUCAGCUCGACGCAGA
Molecule: long non-coding RNA, 406 nt
Organism: Carassius auratus (goldfish)
Lineage: Eukaryota; Metazoa; Chordata; Actinopteri; Cypriniformes; Cyprinidae
Exons: 3
Source: RefSeq, a predicted model, not a curated record